CGGUUCCCUUCUCCGCGUACGUUGUCCGCUGCCCGCAGCCCGCCGCCAGCCCUCACCCGCGCCGCCGCCGUCUCUUCCAGCCCGGCCGCAUCUGCCUUGGUGCCCCUUUUGGAAGAGCGGGUCCGGGACGAGAUGAAAUGGCUGCCGGCUCCGGCCGCUGCGGCCGCCGCUUUGCCCAGGGGGCGCAAGGAGCUCUUCCUGGUGUUCACCAUGGCCCCGGGGAGGGGGACACGGGGGGGCCCCGCCGCCGCCGCCGCCGCCGCUGUUGCUGCCGCUGCCGCCGGCGCGGAGGGAGGAGGGAGGGCGGACAGGCGGGGGCUCGGGCAGGGAGGGGAAGGGAAGGGGAGGGGGAAGAAGGAGAAGUCCUCUGGGGACGCCGCUCCGCCGGGCAGAGACACCAGACAGAACCGCGCCGACUCCUCCCGCCGCUGCCGCCGCCUCCUCGGCUCAGCCCCGCACUAGCCGGCCGCCAUUACUGCCCCUUCUCCCUUUCUCUCCUCUCCGCGCCGCCACCCCGGCUGUUGCCGCGGGGGGGCGCUGCGGCGCCGCCGCCGCCGCGCGCAGGGCCGAGGCGGCCCCCGCUGCGUACGUUCUAGCACGGCGCCGGCGCCGCUCUAUGGGCCUGGCGCGAGCCGGGGGCACGGCGGGGGGGGGCGAGAGGCGGCCGGUGAGGUCCCCCGGGAGCGGGACGGCCGGUUGGGACGGCCGGGGGCGCCCCGCGCAAGCAGAGCGGGCCGGCUGCGGGGCGGGAGGCUGCGGGACAGCCGUCCUGUCAGGCUGAGGGCGGCGGCGGAGCUCUGGAGGCGCGCGGUCGCCGCUUCUGUCAGGCGGUGCCUCCCCCGGCGGGAUCCGGCCCCUCGGCGCUUACACCGAGGGAUCGUAGCGCUUCGGGGCCGGGCCGAGGAAGGGACGGCUGCCCGCGGCCGGGGGGGGGGGAUGGGAGGGGGCAGCGGCGACAGCCCCAGAGAGUGCCCCCGGAGCUCUGCUCAGCCACGGGACUUCGUGUCGGUCAGCGACACGGCUUACACGGACGGGGGUUAGGGAAUGCACCCCUUUGCGUGGAGAACGUAUUUCACAGCCUGCUGAGUUUGGCUGUGAAGGAAUCCUGACGGGCGAGCUGUCAGCGAUGCGCCCUGGCACUGCCCGCCGUGCGGCUCUCCCACAGCGCCUGCCUCAGCUCGCGUCCGAUGUCCAUUGCUCAGCACUUGGAAAGCCGAUUACUCUCUUGUCUCUCUCUCUUACCACAGAUCCAACAGUCACGUUACAGAGGGCCAAAGAUUUGUAUCUAUUACACUACGUCGGAUGCCUGAGCGCUUUUCAAACUGUUCACAAACACUGACGUGCAGCAAGAAAUCCUCCUUGUGCCACCAGCUGCUGGCCUUCAUUGAACUGAGACACAACGCAUUUAUUAGAAAAGAAGAUGAAUGUAACCAAAACUUAUACUGAGAAGAGGCGAGGACAUCUGCUGUGGCAGGUACACCACUGACAAAUUGGAAGACCAUGAAAAAGUGCUUGAGAAGAAUCCCUUUUGCUCAACGAGACUUGGGGAAUUAAGUCUUACUGGGACUCGGUGACAUAAAAAGACAUUAAAAGAUGAGCCAGGAUAAAGAAGAAUGGAAAUCCUUGUUUAUUCCAUAAGUAAGAUUUAAUGUCAUGGGAAAUACUUGGAGAUGGAAGAUUCUGUUGCCACCUGUUCCUGUUUUAUAAGGAAAUCAGGAACACAUGAUAACAAAAGAAAAAGUGCUUCAUCAUUUAUUAGAACUUUUGUAGAGACUUUCAUCCCAGUAGGGACCAGAGGGCUUUUUUCAGUGAAAUCCUAUUUGCUUCAAUCAUAGGCAAUUUAUCAGAGAUUACUUUGUAAUAUCUCUGAAUAGCUGUAACAUUCCAAAGAAUGGAAAUUAAAUCAUCUUUUCAGGACUCUACUUAUAAGCUCUUGUGUGCUUCUUUCUGUCAUGCUGUCAACUCAUCCUGGUUUCAGCUGAAUCUCAAAAUAAAUAGAUUCAGAAGAGAUUAUGCUUUUGUACGUGUGCUCUAUGUCCUUUCUUGAAAGAAUUUUAGGAAAUUGAGAUGGAAUGGCUUCUCUCUUGAGAACUGUCCACUGUGCAAAUAGGCCCUUGGGAAACAUCAAACGAGGGCAUGCUAGCCCGGAUUGGUCCCACCUUACACCUGAACACACAAAGUAAGUCCCUCCACAUUGCACGUGCUUUGCAGUGAUAUUAAAGUGACCCAUUCUUAAUAAUAACGUUUUAGAAAUUAACUUUGAAUGUUCGGUUCUAAUGUUCAGCUGAAUAUUGCUUUCCAAACUACGAUAGGUAACAUAACUGCAGCUUGAAGUGGUAUCAGAGAGCAGAUUUCUUACAUGACGUUAAAUAGGAGUGAUAAGAACUGCCUCCUGAUAUUUCAAAAUUAG
Molecule: long non-coding RNA, 2410 nt
Filed under: Gallus gallus (chicken)
Lineage: Eukaryota; Metazoa; Chordata; Aves; Galliformes; Phasianidae
Source: RNAcentral